UACGGAGGAUGCGAGCGUUAUCCGGAUUUAUUGGGUUUAAAGGGUGCGCAGGCGGUCUGUUAAGUCAGCGGUCAAAGCCCGGGGCUCAACCCCGGCCCGCCGUUGAAACUGGCAGUCUCGAGUUGGAGAGAAGUAUGCGGAAUGUGCGGUGUAGCGGUGAAAUGCAUAGAUAUCGCGCAGAACUCCGAUUGCGAAGGCAGCAUGCCGGCUCCACACUGACGCUGAGGCACGAAAGCGUGGGUAUCGAACAGG
RNAcentral lists this ribosomal RNA (252 nucleotides) under uncultured bacterium. RNAcentral describes it as "partial 16S ribosomal RNA". It matches the Rfam family "Bacterial small subunit ribosomal RNA", at positions 524 to 776 of the family's 1533-position model. The record is from RNAcentral.